Molecule: non-coding RNA, 76 nt
Filed under: unclassified sequences
Source: RNAcentral
AACUACAUGUCGCCGGACAUUACCUCUAUCUAUUCCAGUAGGCCUUAGUUGGAAUGGAUAAGAGGUUUUUUUAAUG